This 411-nucleotide ribosomal RNA is filed under the name uncultured bacterium. Its description in RNAcentral is "bacterial SSU rRNA". It matches the Rfam family "Bacterial small subunit ribosomal RNA", at positions 28 to 419 of the family's 1533-position model. The record is from RNAcentral.
GAUGAACGCUGGCGGCGUGCUUAACACAUGCAAGUCGAACGGAGUGCCUUUGAAAGAGGAUUCGUCCAAUUGAUAAGGUUACUUAGUGGCGGACGGGUGAGUAACGCGUGAGGAACCUGCCUUGGAGUGGGGAAUAACACAGUGAAAAUUGUGCUAAUACCGCAUAAUGCAGUUGGGUCGCAUGACUCUGACUGCCAAAGAUUUAUCGCUGAAAGAUGAGCUCGCGUCUGAUUAGCUAGUUGGCGGGGGUAACGGCCCACCAAGGCGACGAUCAGUAGCCGGACUGGGAGGUUGAACGGCCACAUUGGGACUGAGACACGGCCCGGACUCCUACGGGAGGCAGCAGUGGGGAAUAUUGCGCAAUGGGGGCAACCCUGACGCAGCAACGCCGCGUGAUUGAUGAAGGUCUUC